This is a non-coding RNA of Mycena rebaudengoi, 93 nucleotides long. The record is from the annotation of a GenBank genome assembly. NCBI's taxonomy places the organism in Eukaryota, Fungi, Basidiomycota, Agaricomycetes, Agaricales, Mycenaceae.
GACUCAGUGGUGUAGCCAGUAACACACUUGCUACACUUGGAAGGGUCGCAGUGUUUCAAGCAAGAGAUCCCCGUUCGACUCGGGGCUGGGUCA